CAAGUUUCAAGUGCGGCUCUUAGGCCAGUGUUUCCCAGCUGAAUCAGUGGGUCCACCCUGACUUCACAUUGCACUUCCUAGAGAAAGGAAAAGCCCUGAUGUGCUUGUCACCCGAGCUGACGGCUGGGGCUGCGAGAUGGAGGCCGAAUGUCUUCACUCGGUCCCUCUUCAGACACUCAAAGGCUGCUCUGUUUCAGCCUGAUGACGAGCCGAUUGGAUAUAAUCUUAAGCGGGGGACUCAGGAGAUGGGGAGGCAUAGGGAAACCCUACAGUAGGCUUUGCAGGGAAGGAAUGUCUUUCUCCAGAUGUAGGAAACGAGCAUUGGAGGGUUCCUGCUGCCAGGCAGCCCGCUCCUCCUGUUAUAACAUGGGACCAAAUUCAAACCAUGUGUCCUCACACCCGGUUAGCUGCUUUUGCCCACCUCUAGCGUUAGCAGUCUGGACGGAUCCAUUUCACUGCCCCACUCCAGUGCAACAUUCUCAUUCUCCC
Long non-coding RNA from Cyprinus carpio carpio, 489 nucleotides. Lineage: Eukaryota; Metazoa; Chordata; Actinopteri; Cypriniformes; Cyprinidae. The record is from Ensembl.